AAAGAAAAUUCGAUUCCCUUAGUAGCGGCGAGCGAAACGGGAAGAGCCCAAACCAACAAGCUUGCUUGUUGGGGUUGUAGGACACUCUAUACGGAGUUACAAAGGACGACAUUAGACGAAUCAUCUGGAAAGAUGAAUCAAAGAAGGUAAUAAUCCUGUAGUCGAAAAUGUUGUCUCUCUUGAGUGGAUCCUGAGUACGACGGAACACGUGAAAUUCCGUCGGAAUCUGGGAGGACCAUCUCCUAAGGCUAAAUACUCUCUAGUGACCGAUAGUGAACCAGUACCGUGAGGGAAAGGUGAAAAGCACCCCGGAAGGGGAGUGAAAUAGAACCUGAAACCGUGUGCUUACAAGUAGUCAGAGCCCGUUAAUGGGUGAUGGCGUGCCUUUUGUAGAAUGAACCGGCGAGUUACGAUUUGAUGCAAGGUUAAGCAGUAAAUGUGGAGCCGUAGCGAAAGCGAGUCUGAAUAGGGCGUUUAGUAUUUGGUCGUAGACCCGAAACCAGGUGAUCUACCCUUGGUCAGGUUGAAGUUCAGGUAACACUGAAUGGAGGACCGAACCGACUUACGUUGAAAAGUGAGCGGAUGAACUGAGGGUAGCGGAGAAAUUCCAAUCGAACCUGGAGAUAGCUGGUUCUCUCCGAAAUAGCUUUAGGGCUAGCCUCAAGUGAUGAUUAUUGGAGGUAGAGCACUGUUUGGACGAGGGGCCCCUCUCGGGUUACCGAAUUCAGACAAACUCCGAAUGCCAAUUAAUUUAACUUGGGAGUCAGAACAUGGGUGAUAAGGUCCGUGUUCGAAAGGGAAACAGCCCAGACCACCAGCUAAGGUCCCAAAAUAUAUGUUAAGUGGAAAAGGAUGUGGCGUUGCCCAGACAACUAGGAUGUUGGCUUAGAAGCAGCCAUCAUUUAAAGAGUGCGUAAUAGCUCACUAGUCGAGUGACACUGCGCCGAAAAUGUACCGGGGCUAAACAUAUUACCGAAGCUGUGGAUUGUCCUUUGGACAAUGGUAGGAGAGCGUUCUAAGGGCGUUGAAGCAUGAUCGUAAGGACAUGUGGAGCGCUUAGAAGUGAGAAUGCCGGUGUGAGUAGCGAAAGACGGGUGAGAAUCCCGUCCACCGAUUGACUAAGGUUUCCAGAGGAAGGCUCGUCCGCUCUGGGUUAGUCGGGUCCUAAGCUGAGGCCGACAGGCGUAGGCGAUGGAUAACAGGUUGAUAUUCCUGUACCACCUAUAAUCGUUUUAAUCGAUGGGGGGACGCAGUAGGAUAGGCGAAGCGUGCGAUUGGAUUGCACGUCUAAGCAGUAAGGCUGAGUAUUAGGCAAAUCCGGUACUCGUUAAGGCUGAGCUGUGAUGGGGAGAAGACAUUGUGUCUUCGAGUCGUUGAUUUCACACUGCCGAGAAAAGCCUCUAGAUAGAAAAUAGGUGCCCGUACCGCAAACCGACACAGGUAGUCAAGAUGAGAAUUCUAAGGUGAGCGAGCGAACUCUCGUUAAGGAACUCGGCAAAAUGACCCCGUAACUUCGGGAGAAGGGGUGCUCUUUAGGGUUAACGCCCAGAAGAGCCGCAGUGAAUAGGCCCAAGCGACUGUUUAUCAAAAACACAGGUCUCUGCUAAACCGUAAGGUGAUGUAUAGGGGCUGACGCCUGCCCGGUGCUGGAAGGUUAAGAGGAGUGGUUAGCUUCUGCGAAGCUACGAAUCGAAGCCCCAGUAAACGGCGGCCGUAACUAUAACGGUCCUAAGGUAGCGAAAUUCCUUGUCGGGUAAGUUCCGACCCGCACGAAAGGCGUAACGAUUUGGGCACUGUCUCAACGAGAGACUCGGUGAAAUCAUAGUACCUGUGAAGAUGCAGGUUACCCGCGACAGGACGGAAAGACCCCGUGGAGCUUUACUGUAGCCUGAUAUUGAAAUUCGGCACAGCUUGUACAGGAUAGGUAGGAGCCUUUGAAACGUGAGCGCUAGCUUACGUGGAGGCGCUGGUGGGAUACUACCCUAGCUGUGUUGGCUUUCUAACCCGCACCACUUAUCGUGGUGGGAGACAGUGUCAGGCGGGCAGUUUGACUGGGGCGGUCGCCUCCUAAAAGGUAACGGAGGCGCUCAAAGGUUCCCUCAGAAUGGUUGGAAAUCAUUCAUAGAGUGUAAAGGCAUAAGGGAGCUUGACUGCGAGACCUACAAGUCGAGCAGGGUCGAAAGACGGACUUAGUGAUCCGGUGGUUCCGCAUGGAAGGGCCAUCGCUCAACGGAUAAAAGCUACCCCGGGGAUAACAGGCUUAUCUCCCCCAAGAGUUCACAUCGACGGGGAGGUUUGGCACCUCGAUGUCGGCUCAUCGCAUCCUGGGGCUGUAGUCGGUCCCAAGGGUUGGGCUGUUCGCCCAUUAAAGCGGUACGCGAGCUGGGUUCAGAACGUCGUGAGACAGUUCGGUCCCUAUCCGUCGUGGGCGUAGGAAAUUUGAGAGGAGCUGUCCUUAGUACGAGAGGACCGGGAUGGACAUACCUCUGGUGUACCAGUUGUCGUGCCAACGGCAUAGCUGGGUAGCUAUGUGUGGACGGGAUAAGUGCUGAAAGCAUCUAAGCAUGAAGCCCCCCUCAAGAUGAGAUUUCCCAACUUCGGUUAUAAGAUCCCUCAAAGAUGAUGAGGUUAAUAGGUUCGAGGUGGAAGCAUGGUGACAUGUGGAGCUGACGAAUACUAAUCGAUCGAAGACUUAAUCAA
This 2700-nucleotide ribosomal RNA is filed under the name Staphylococcus aureus. RNAcentral's name for it is "partial 23S ribosomal RNA". It matches the Rfam family "Bacterial large subunit ribosomal RNA". Lineage: Bacteria; Bacillati; Bacillota; Bacilli; Caryophanales; Staphylococcaceae. The record is from RNAcentral.